CCUACGGGCGGCAGCAGUGAGGAAUAUUGGUCAAUGGCCGGAAGGCUGAACCAGCCAAGCCGCGUGAAGGACGAAGGUGCCAAGCAUUGUAAACUUCUUUUAUAAAGGAAUAAAACGAGGCACGUGUGCCUUUUUGCAUGUACUUUAUGAAUAAGGAUCGGCUAACUCCGUGCCAGCAGCCGCGGUAAUACGGAGGAUGCGAGCGUUAUCCGGAUUUAUUGGGUUUAAAGGGUGCGCAGGCGGAAUGUCAAGUCAGCGGUAAAAUUUCGGGGCUCAACCCCGUCGUGCCGUUGAAACUGGCGUUCUUGAGUGAGCGAGAAGUAUGCGGAAUGCGUGGUGUAGCGGUGAAAUGCAUAGAUAUCACGCAGAACUCCGAUUGCGAAGGCAGCAUACCGGCGCUCAACUGACGCUCAUGCACGAAAGCGUGGGUAUCGAACAGGAUUAGAUACCCGUGUAGUC
This 459-nucleotide ribosomal RNA is filed under the name uncultured bacterium. RNAcentral's name for it is "partial 16S ribosomal RNA". It matches the Rfam family "Bacterial small subunit ribosomal RNA", at positions 338 to 795 of the family's 1533-position model. The record is from RNAcentral.